RNAcentral lists this long non-coding RNA (777 nucleotides) under Sorghum bicolor (sorghum). RNAcentral describes it as "long non-coding RNA (SBIC_LNC015094)". The record is from RNAcentral. Lineage: Eukaryota; Viridiplantae; Streptophyta; Magnoliopsida; Poales; Poaceae.
UGUGCUAUCUGGUUUGCUAAAAUAGCAAGUUUGCUACUCCUAAACUUUCGCUUGUUAUAUAUAGCAUGUCGUCCUCACUAGCUAUCAUAUACAAAGGCUGUUGUGAAAUUCUAUGCUUUGAGUGAGUUUUUAUUUUACACAAUGGCUAAACUUUGUAGUUUAGAAUAUCAUUUUACCUAGUUUCUUGGAGAUGCUCUUAGAUGCACAACGCACUUUCUUUUGUAGGAUAGGAUUCCUACGAAAAAGACACAAAGAAGCCCUUCGAACAUCACAAAAAUGCAUGAGGCCAAAUUGCAUAUUGGAGUUCGCCAUGACAUAGCUGUUGUCGAGAUGAUCGAAACAUAUAUAUAGACCACCUAAUUCAGCAUUUGUGAAGAAGUUUCUUUCAUAACGCGUGAACAAAAACUUGGAAGAUCCUACGUGACGGUGGUGAAACCAGGCCAUCCGGUUUUGAUCAAACAAGUCAUUUGAUAUGCAUACCGACCCAUCCGUUUUGUCAUCACACUCAUGUUACUUUUGUUGAACCUCAAUCAACCACACAUUAAUUGAGUCACUGACGAAGUGCAGCCCACGAUGAGCUAGCCCCAACCUGACUGCACCAGCAUGUGGGACCGUCUAAAAUACUUCAAAUUUCUAAUUGAUAUAUUUAUACCAAUUUGUGAAAGUGUAUUAGUGUAUAUUUUGUUUAAGCAAUUGUUUUAUCACUAAUCUUCAUCUAAAUUUGUACUAUGCUCCUCGUAUUCUUAUGUCUUAAACAUCCAUUCCUAGCGUCGACCU